CGAAGGCGAGGAACGGGAACAGCAAAUUGCCGAUAAAAUUGAAGAGGCCAUUGCCAGAAUCGCCCUCUGAAACCGUUAUAUCGACGCCGUUCAUGGCUAAAAUGUCGAUGAGGUCGGGGUCAUUGGGGACGAUAACGGUGGCCCGACGACCAUCGACGGCGGUGAGUUGGAGGGCCGAGCCAUCUUUGCUGAACCGAACUCGCUCCACUUUCCCCUUCUUCACCGCAUUCAAGAACUCGCUGUACCGCCAUUGACUACCUUCUGGGAGGUCAGACUGCGUUUGGGGUUUAGGGGCUGUGAGAAGAAGAUUCUGAGCAAAGGGUGAGGAGUUUGAGGGGCUGGGUUUAGUGGGUUGGGCUUCGAUUACAGGGGGCGGAACAGGUG
RNAcentral lists this long non-coding RNA (384 nucleotides) under Vitis vinifera (wine grape). Its description in RNAcentral is "long non-coding RNA (VVIN_LNC005868)". The record is from RNAcentral. Lineage: Eukaryota; Viridiplantae; Streptophyta; Magnoliopsida; Vitales; Vitaceae.